This 253-nucleotide ribosomal RNA is filed under the name uncultured bacterium. RNAcentral's name for it is "partial 16S ribosomal RNA". It matches the Rfam family "Bacterial small subunit ribosomal RNA", at positions 524 to 776 of the family's 1533-position model. The record is from RNAcentral.
UACGUAGGGUGCAAGCGUUAAUCGGAAUUACUGGGCGUAAAGCGCACGUAGGUGGUUCAGUAAGUUGGAAGUGAAAUCCCCGGGCUCAACCUGGGAACUGCUUUCAAAACUGCUGAGCUAGAGUACGGUAGAGGGUGGUGGAAUUUCCUGUGUAGCGGUGAAAUGCGUAGAUAUAGGAAGGAACACCAGUGGCGAAGGCGACCACCUGGACUGAUACUGACACUGAGGUGCGAAAGCGUGGGGAGCAAACAGG